Molecule: transfer RNA, 70 nt
Filed under: Mesocricetus auratus (golden hamster)
Lineage: Eukaryota; Metazoa; Chordata; Mammalia; Rodentia; Cricetidae
Rfam family: tRNA
About the family: Transfer RNA (tRNA) molecules are approximately 80 nucleotides in length. Their secondary structure includes four short double-helical elements and three loops (D, anti-codon, and T loops).
Source: Rfam by way of RNAcentral
GGGAGAUGGCUCAGUGGUUAAGAGCACUAAUUUCUCUUUCAGAGGACCUGGGUUCAAUUCCCAGCACCCA